UCAGUUGAACUCCUUAGCAUGCAAGGAUGACCUUGAACUUCUGGUUCUCCUACCUCUGCUAACAGAGUGCUGGGACUAUUGAUGUGCCACAAUAACUCAGCUCCCCCAGCACUGCGGAUUGAACCCAGAGCUUCCUCCUUGCUGUUCGAACACUCACUCUACCAACCGAGCUGCGUCUCCAAUCUACAGGGAACGAUUUUGAAAGCAACCUUGUGAGCAAGUUAGAGGGAAGGACCUUCAUUAAGGAGGAAUGAGAGAAAUGGGGAAGUCAGUUUGCAACCUACUGGAAAGAGAUGGUAUCAGAAGAUUGGGUCUUAUCAUGAUU
This 325-nucleotide long non-coding RNA is filed under the name Cricetulus griseus (Chinese hamster). Its description in RNAcentral is "lncRNA (ENSCGRG00000026512.1)". The record is from RNAcentral. Lineage: Eukaryota; Metazoa; Chordata; Mammalia; Rodentia; Cricetidae.